ACACAGCAUUGCUUCCUUGGAAACCGUGGAAAAACAUCUUUGAGGGAGCAAGAGAGAGCAGCAGGGAGCUGGAUUUAAAUAGCAGAGGAAUUUCACUGAUCCCUAAGCAGGAGGGGACACCUGCUGAUAACAGCUAUUGAAUGUCCCUGCAUGGCUGAUAAGAACUACAGCAUCCCACUGGGAGAUGGGAGCCCAGAGGGAGGAGCCAAGCAUUCCUACCCGGAUAGAAUCUGGAGAUUCUGCAACACCAGCACGGCUUCUGCACUGGAUUGCCCAGAGGAACAGCAGCUGCCUCUGCCCCUGGAUCUUCAGAGGCAGAGACUGCACCUUUCUCCAGGAUCCCUGCUCCAGCAGAACCAGCCCUGACACUGCAGGAGGGCUGAGCCACAAUUCCAAUGGCACUGCUGCCAACAGCCUGACCCACAGGGUGUCAGGUUGGGUUCUGACUCUGCCAGUGUUGGUUUUGUUCACUGCAUUGUUUAUUUUAUCCUUUUAUUUUUUUCCCUUCUGUAUUAAAGGGCUGUUAUUUCCUGCUCCCA
This is a long non-coding RNA of Melospiza melodia melodia, 539 nucleotides long. RefSeq lists it as uncharacterized. The record is from RefSeq and is a predicted model, not a curated record. Lineage: Eukaryota; Metazoa; Chordata; Aves; Passeriformes; Passerellidae. The transcript has 2 exons.